UACGUAGGGUGCAAGCGUUAAUCGGAAUUACUGGGCGUAAAGCGUGCGCAGGCGGUUGUGCAAGACAGAGGUGAAAUCCCCGGGCUUAACCUGGGAACUGCCUUUGUGACUGCACGGCUAGAGUGUGUCAGAGGGGGGUAGAAUUCCACGUGUAGCAGUGAAAUGCGUAGAUAUGUGGAGGAAUACCGAUGGCGAAGGCAGCCCCCUGGGAUAACACUGACGCUCAUGACACGGAAAGCGUGGGGAGCAAACAGG
This 255-nucleotide ribosomal RNA is filed under the name uncultured bacterium. RNAcentral describes it as "partial 16S ribosomal RNA". It matches the Rfam family "Bacterial small subunit ribosomal RNA", at positions 524 to 776 of the family's 1533-position model. The record is from RNAcentral.